This 1188-nucleotide long non-coding RNA is filed under the name Heterocephalus glaber (naked mole-rat). RNAcentral describes it as "lncRNA (ENSHGLG00000033187.1)". Lineage: Eukaryota; Metazoa; Chordata; Mammalia; Rodentia; Bathyergidae. The record is from RNAcentral.
GACAACUGGUAUCAUACCGACCAGGGUAUCACACUGAGUGUUGCGAAGGACAGGGAUCUGGUGAACAGAUAGUGUCUUAUUUGCUUUAUUUUGGGUGUAUACAUUCAAUUUCUUAUCAUUACUAAUAAUUCUCUGAGAACAGUCUCAGACUCUUACUUGAUAUGAGCAGUUCUGCAAAGAGUUGAACCAUGAAAUGUAAAGAGAAGGAAAAACCAGCAGAAGAAACUCUUAAAACGACCUGUGAAGAAGUCAAAGGGUACGAGAGGAAAGUUGGAUUUACAAGAUGUUCUGCAGGGUGGAGCCAAGGUACUGGCCCAUACUCAAGGCCACAGAGUGGCGGACAGUUCUUCCUCAAUCUCAGUGGACUUCUCCGAUGAAGACUCAUUCUUGGAUGCAGAACUGCACGACUCUCCAGAGGAUACCGCUGAGACACAUGAGAUGGACUCAGGUUCAAAUCUGGACGCAGGAGAGAACUUCUCCAGCCCAGAACAUUUGCCGUGCAUCUCUUCUUCAAGCAAGUGCAUUCCUGUGGACCAGGACAGUCCUGGAUCCUCCAAGAGGCUUUUAAAUCAAGAUUUGAUGGAGAGGGAGAAUUUCUCCUUCAUGGAACAUUCCCAUUUACCUUCCUCCUUGGCCAAUAACCCCUCAGAGUCUCCAACAUCUACUGAAAAGAAAGGAGUCCUCAAUGUUUACUAUAAGCCUGUCCCAACGAAAAGGGGCACGGCGUCCUCGGGGGAUACAGAAGAAGAUUUGGAGCCCCCCCAAAGAGGACAAGAAGAGCAAAAAUGACCUUUCCUGAGAAGAUCCCUUCAAAAGCCCGCCUGUCUUCUGUGUGCCCGAGAGACGGCCUAACUGACAGUGGAAAUGGCCUGCACGGGGAAGGCCAGGAGGAAAGGGAAGAGGUGGAGAAGCCACCUGAGCAUCUGGCCCGGGAUUCGGGGCUGGAGGACCUGUGUAGUGGCUUCAGGUGCACGGGCUGCGACCAGGUCUUCCCCAAUAUGCGGAUGCUUAAGAAACACCUGAAGGAUGGGGUGGAGGGUGGUGCUUCAUGCCUUAGUCUUCCAUUUGCCAAACUAUGGAACAGAACGAAGCAAAGCAAGAGAAUCACAGAGGGGGAGAAUGGGAAUAUGACAACAUCUGUGGGUGAAAUGGGGAUACUGGUGAGGCUCUUGUUCCUUCUGGCUUUUG